RNAcentral lists this ribosomal RNA (1215 nucleotides) under Chryseobacterium piscicola. RNAcentral describes it as "bacterial SSU rRNA". It matches the Rfam family "Bacterial small subunit ribosomal RNA", at positions 94 to 1317 of the family's 1533-position model. The record is from RNAcentral. Lineage: Bacteria; Pseudomonadati; Bacteroidota; Flavobacteriia; Flavobacteriales; Weeksellaceae.
AGCGGCGUACGGGUGCGGAACACGUGUGCAACCUGCCUUUAUCAGGGGGAUAGCCUUUCGAAAGGAAGAUUAAUACCCCAUAAUAUAUUGAAUGGCAUCAUUUGAUAUUGAAAACUCCGGUGGAUAGAGAUGGGCACGCGCAAGAUUAGAUAGUUGGUGAGGUAACGGCUCACCAAGUCAGUGAUCUUUAGGGGGCCUGAGAGGGUGAUCCCCCACACUGGUACUGAGACACGGACCAGACUCCUACGGGAGGCAGCAGUGAGGAAUAUUGGACAAUGGGUGAGAGCCUGAUCCAGCCAUCCCGCGUGAAGGACGACGGUUCUAUGGAUUGUAAACUUCUUUUAUACUGGGAUAAACCUACCCUCGUGAGGGUAGCUGAAGGUACAGUAUGAAUAAGCACCGGCUAACUCCGUGCCAGCAGCCGCGGUAAUACGGAGGGUGCAAGCGUUAUCCGGAUUUAUUGGGUUUAAAGGGUCCGUAGGCGGAUCUGUAAGUCAGUGGUGAAAUCUCAUAGCUUAACUAUGAAACUGCCAUUGAUACUGCAGGUCUUGAGUAAAGUAGAAGUGGCUGGAAUAAGUAGUGUAGCGGUGAAAUGCAUAGAUAUUACUUAGAACACCAAUUGCGAAGGCAGGUCACUAUGUUUUAACUGACGCUGAUGGACGAAAGCGUGGGGAGCGAACAGGAUUAGAUACCCUGGUAGUCCACGCCGUAAACGAUGCUAACUCGUUUUUGGGUUUUCGGAUUCAGAGACUAAGCGAAAGUGAUAAGUUAGCCACCUGGGGAGUACGUUCGCAAGAAUGAAACUCAAAGGAAUUGACGGGGGCCCGCACAAGCGGUGGAUUAUGUGGUUUAAUUCGAUGAUACGCGAGGAACCUUACCAAGGCUUAAAUGGGAAUUGACAGGUUUAGAAAUAGACUUUUCUUCGGACAAUUUUCAAGGUGCUGCAUGGUUGUCGUCAGCUCGUGCCGUGAGGUGUUAGGUUAAGUCCUGCAACGAGCGCAACCCCUGUCACUAGUUGCCAUCAUUCAGUUGGGGACUCUAGUGAGACUGCCUACGCAAGUAGAGAGGAAGGUGGGGAUGACGUCAAAUCAUCACGGCCCUUACGCCUUGGGCCACACACGUAAUACAAUGGCCAGUACAGAGGGCAGCUACCAGGCGACUGGAUGCGAAUCUCGAAAGCUGGUCUCAGUUCGGAUUGGAGUCUGCAACUCGACU